This is a non-coding RNA of Cucurbita pepo subsp. pepo (vegetable marrow), 248 nucleotides long. Lineage: Eukaryota; Viridiplantae; Streptophyta; Magnoliopsida; Cucurbitales; Cucurbitaceae. The record is from RefSeq and is a predicted model, not a curated record.
GUGAAGGGAGGAAGAAUUAGGAAAUCCGACUCAAUUCGGGAAAAUCCUACAUUUGGCCAUUAGCAAUAAUAAUAAUUCCCAAAAGAAAACUCUACAAAGAUCUUCGUUUAUGUGUUUUUCUCUCUAGAGCCAUGGAGUCAUCAAAACCAAUGCAUAUGCAUGUUCCUGCCUUAACUAUACCGUGUAUUUGUAGUUUGAUGGUCUGUUUUUAAUAAUAUUUAGUAAUGGAACUAUCCCUUGUUGUUCAA